Molecule: small nucleolar RNA, 128 nt
Organism: Mastomys coucha (southern multimammate mouse)
Lineage: Eukaryota; Metazoa; Chordata; Mammalia; Rodentia; Muridae
Product: small nucleolar RNA SNORA17
Exons: 1
Source: RefSeq, a predicted model, not a curated record
UCUGCCCCUAGGGACAUUACAAAUGUAGCUAUUUUGUCAAAUGUGUGUCAAUAGGUGGCAGAGAGAGGCUAUGUUGAUGUACAGUGUUCCUGACCUAUGAACAUAUGAAUGAUUAGUAGCCUAACAUC